GUUUAAAUAGCUUAUAUAGAGCAUAACACUGAAGAUGUUAGGGAGAUUUUAGGAUCUUUGGACA
RNAcentral lists this transfer RNA (64 nucleotides) under Epeorus sp. MT-2014. RNAcentral describes it as "tRNA-Phe". Lineage: Eukaryota; Metazoa; Arthropoda; Insecta; Ephemeroptera; Heptageniidae. The record is from RNAcentral.